Molecule: long non-coding RNA, 795 nt
Organism: Ruditapes philippinarum (Manila clam)
Lineage: Eukaryota; Metazoa; Mollusca; Bivalvia; Venerida; Veneridae
Exons: 3
Source: RefSeq, a predicted model, not a curated record
UAUCCAUCAGUAAAAUAUAUGAAAAACUGAAAAACAUGUGUGGUUCAUAGUAACUGAUAAUAACAUUACUGUAUUGGAGAAGACGGGUAUGUAUAAUAUACCCACAUAUGUCUCGUAAUUAACAUCAAUCUAAUAACUAACUUCUGUGACUAUUAACAACUUAAGAAAUAAAUGAACAUGAAACACUCAUUUUCUAACAUCUUUUCUUCUUAAUAACAAAGACACAAUGGCUUUUCCCACCAAGAAAUCACAUCUUAAGAUCAACCAUCCGUGAACCAAUCAUGUGAUUCCUUAGGACACUGAUAACAGAUCAAUGUAAACAUAAGAUAAAAUCAGUUAAAACCUACAGUAAGUUCCCUUGAAAAGGAUCAGACAAGACGGACGGAUUUGUCUCCCUUUUCAAAAUUAUGAAAUUCAACAAUAAGCAAGAGUUUUGUCCCUUACACCUUAUCUUGAAAAUAAGACCGAGUUACAUGUUUUCAUUAACUUAACCAGUAUAAUGAUCUUUAUGGAAUGAGUCCAAAAUGUUUUUCAUUUGCAUUGAAGAGCCAAUGGUAGAAGCAAAACAACGGGACCUGCUUAUGAAAACUCUGCAUCAAACAGCGACACUAGAAGAUCUAAGAACAGUUUAAGUAUCUGAGCAUGAAUAUUGUCAAAUUUGUCCAGCCAAUGUGAUGUAAUUAUGGUAAUCAGCAUUAGCGAGCUCAACAACAACAAUUUUAAAUACUUGCAUUAAAAGUGUCACGUCAAUAGAGUAACAAUUUGAAUAAAAAACAAAAGACUACAUUGUAACAA